AAGCUCCGAUAAUGUAUGAAUAAA
This 24-nucleotide non-coding RNA is filed under the name Gossypium hirsutum (cotton). Lineage: Eukaryota; Viridiplantae; Streptophyta; Magnoliopsida; Malvales; Malvaceae. The record is from RNAcentral.